AUUGAACGCUGGCGGCAUGCUUUACACAUGCAAGUCGAACGGCAGCGCGGGCUUCGGCCUGGCGGCGAGUGGCGAACGGGUGAGUAAUGCAUCGGAACGUGCCCAGUAUUUGGGGAUAGCCCGGCGAAAGCCGGAUUAAUACCGCAUACGACCUGAGGGUGAAAGCGGGGGACCGAACGGCCUCGCGCUUUUGGAGCGGCCGAUGUCGGAUUAGCUAGUUGGUGGGGUAAAGGCUUACCAAGGCGACGAUCCGUAGCUGGUCUGAGAGGACGACCAGCCACACUGGGACUGAGACACGGCCCAGACUCCUACGGGAGGCAGCAGUGGGGAAUUUUGGACAAUGGGGGCAACCCUGAUCCAACCAUGCCGCGUGCGGGAAGAAGGCCUUCGGGUUGUAAACCGCUUUUGUUCGGGAAGAAAUACUCUGGGCUAAUACCCCGGGGGGAUGACGGUACCGGAAGAAUAAGCACCGGCUAACUACGUG
Molecule: ribosomal RNA, 484 nt
Filed under: uncultured bacterium
Lineage: Bacteria
Description: partial 16S ribosomal RNA
Rfam family: Bacterial small subunit ribosomal RNA
Source: RNAcentral